Molecule: ribosomal RNA, 442 nt
Filed under: uncultured bacterium
Lineage: Bacteria
Description: partial 16S ribosomal RNA
Rfam family: Bacterial small subunit ribosomal RNA
Source: RNAcentral
CCUACGGGAGGCAGCAGUGGGGAAUAUUGGGCAAUGGGCGCAAGCCUGACCCAGCAACGCCGCGUGAAGGAAGAAGGCUUUCGGGUUGUAAACUUCUUUUGUCAUGGAAGAGUAGAAGAUGGUACCUGACGAAUAAGCCACGGCUAAUUAAGUGCCAGCAGCCGGGGCAAUACGUAGGUGGCAAGCGUUGGCCGGAUUUACUGGGUGUAAAGGGCGUGUAGCCGGGUUGACAAGUCAGAUGUGAAAUCCUGCGGCUUAACCGCAGAACUGCAGUUGAAACUGUUGAUCUUGAGUACAGGGGAGGCAGACGGAAUUCCUGGUGUAGCGGUGAAAUGCGUAGAUAUUAGGAGGAACACCAGUGGCGAAGGCGGUCUGCUGGACAGCAACUGACGGUGAGGCGCGAAAGCGUGGGGAGCAAACAGGAGUAGAUACCCCUGUAGUC